This 1456-nucleotide ribosomal RNA is filed under the name human gut metagenome. Its description in RNAcentral is "bacterial LSU rRNA". It matches the Rfam family "Bacterial large subunit ribosomal RNA", at positions 508 to 1973 of the family's 2925-position model. The record is from RNAcentral.
GGAAAGGUGAAAAGAACCCCGAACAGGGGAGUGAAAUAGAACCUGAAACCAUACGCUUACAACCGGUCGGAGCAGCUUCGUGCUGUGACGGCGUGCCUAUUGAAUAAUGAGCCUACGAGUUACUAAUCACUGGCGAGGUUAAGUGCUAGGAAGCACGGAGCCGAAGCGAAAGCGAGUCUGAACAGGGCGUUUAGUCAGUGGUUGUAGACGCGAAACCUUGCGAUCUACCCUUGAGCAGGUUGAAGGUUGGGUAAAACCAACUGGAGGACCGAACGAAUAAGCGUUGAAAAGCUUCUCGAUGACUUGAGGGUAGGGGUGAAAGGCUAAUCAAGCUGGGAAAUAGCUCGUACUCCCCGAAAUGCCUUUUGGGGCAGCGUUGUAAUAAAGAGUCUACUGGAGGUAGAGCUACUGAUUGGAUGCGGGGGCUUCACCGCCUACCAAAUCCUGACAAACUCCGAAUGCCAGUAGUAUGAUUUACAGCAGUGAGUGACUGGGUGCUAAUGUCCAGUCGCAAAAGAGGAACAACUCAGACCAGCAACUAAGGUCCCGAAGAAUAUGCUAAGUUGAUCUAACGAUGUUUUGUUGCAGAGACAGCUAGGAUGUUAGCUUGGAAGCAGCUAUUCAUUCAAAGAGUGCGUAACAGCUCACUAGUCGAGCGACAGAGCGUGGAUAAUAAACGGGCAUCAAGCAUAUCACCGAAGUUCUGGGCGCGAGAGCGCGGUAGGGGAGCAUUCCAUUCAGCGUCGAAGCAGUUUCGUGAGGAAUUGUGGAGCGUAUGGAAAAGCAAAUGUAGGCAUGAGUAACGAUAAUGCGGGAGAGUAACCCGCACACCGCAAGACCAAGGUUUCCUGAUCAACGCUAAUCGGAUCAGGGUUAGUCGGGUCCUAAGGGUAAGCCGAACGGCGAUCUCGAUGGAUAAUCGGUUAAUAUUCCGAUACUAACAUAUACCUCGAUGGAGAGACGAAGGAACGUAAGUGCCGCCACCUGACGGAAUAGGUGGUUAAAGGGCGUAGGUAUAGGGGCAGAUUAAGAGUUAGUCCUUGCUGAAACCUGACAGUACAGAGAGCCUACGGGCAAUUUGAUAGUGCACCCAAGUCGACUUCCGAGAAAAUCUUCUAAGUUAUAGUAUAUGUCACCCGUACCGUAAACCGACACAGGUGGUCGAGGAGAGUAUCCUAAGGUGCUCGAGUGAAUCACGGUUAAGGAACUAGGCAAAUUAACCCCGUAACUUCGGGAAAAGGGGUCCCUAUGAAAGUAGGGCGCAGCGAAGAGGUCCAGGCGACUGUUUAUCAAAAACACAGGGCUCUGCAAAUUCGAAAGAAGACGUAUAGGGCCUGACACCUGCCCGGUGCUGGAAGGUUAAGAGGGGAUGUCAUCGCAAGAGAAGCAUUGAAUCGAAGCCCCAGUAAACGGCGGCCGUAACUAUAACGGUCCUAAGGUAGCGAAAUUCCUUGUC